GGCGUGGUAACAGCUAGACCGCUGCUUCUCUGCAGUCCUGCUUCUAAGCGGAUUUCUCUGAUCACCUUGCUUUCUCCCCUGUCUUGUAGAUCUAUCUUCUUCCGAAGGAAGCCGUGGAAUCUUACUGGUCUCCUGUUUUCACACAUGUCAUGUUCAGAGGAGUGCGGGAACUCCAACUGCGACGCCUCAGCCCUGAUUCUCUGCUGUUUCCAACUCCAAACCCAGCUUCUCAAGAGCAGCCUCUACCUAAACUCUGAGGAUCAUCAACCUGCCUGUCCACCCUCUAACGUUGUACCUCCAACCACUGUGGAGUUUCCUGGAAGAGAAGAAACACAAGCAGUGAAACAAAGUAACUUGCCUUUCAAAAACUGUGCACUUCCUGUCAGCCCCAAGCCACUGUGGAAAAGGACUCAUUGCUUCCCCCCCUGGCCUUACCAAGAACUCAACUUCUUGAGAUCCUGUUUUUGCCCGCUGCUCCAGUCCUGGUUCCUGUCCGACCUUAAAACUGUGUAUCUUAAAUAGACGAUGUCUUGGUCCUUGUGGUUGUCUCUUCAGAGUCUGAGAAAAUCCAUUAUGACAACAGAUAGGUUUUCUUACACUGAAACAUUUACCAUGGCUGUUAUGCCUGACUACUUUACAUGCUAGGAGGACAGAACUUCUAUUUUUUACGAAAAACGUAGUUUUCAGUACAAAGCUUUUAUUUAAUGGAUGAGUCGAACCAUAUUCCCAUCAUCGACGGGGAGCUUCAACACCUUCUAGCUAACACCACGUGCUCAUUACAAAGUUCACAGAAGUUGCAGAUGCAAACUCAGCACUACCGCCAGCUCCCCCACCAACCCUGUUUGCAGAUUGCCCCCAGCGCUUCUUUUCCAUGCCCAAGUGCUGCUGCUGGUUCACUUGCUGCCUCUGCAGCUGUAACGUUUCCUCCAGGAGCCAUGCUGACUCGCUCUUUACAGAGGGAGAGGUAGACUUGGUGAAUGCCAAACUAAGACCAAGUAGAAUGGUAGUGAUCCAAUUCAUGGAUCCGUUUCAUGAGGCCACUUGGCAUGCUUAGUAAAGUUCAAGAUGCCCUUGGUAGCUAUGACCCAUUGAAUUUACGGCUUAACAUUUAAAUGUUUAAUAUCAUUUUAAUUUAGUGAUGCAACAUAUUCAUGGAAUAUGUCAAUAUGUUUUAUUUACUGCCGAUGGUUUCCUCUGACUGCAGCCUGUUCGAUAGAACGUUAAGGAAGAAAAAACUAAAAUGUUCUCUGUUCAUCGUCUACCUGCUGUAUUUAUAUAUAUAAUCUCUAUCUUUUUUCUAUCUUUUUUUUAACUGUCUCUUCAUCUUAUUUAUCCAACUUCCUGUCCUUCACUUUAUCAUGUUUUAUCUGUGUGUCUCUUUUCAUUUUUUAAUCUUUAUCUAUUUUCUUUUUUCAUCUAUGAUUUUAUAUAUUUAAUUACCAAGCUCAAUCUAGAGUCAAGGGGAUUAUUUCACCCCAAACAGCCAAGCCAGGAAAAUUAGUUCUGCUGCUAAUCGCUGGAGAGGAAGUGUUACCAUCAAAACGAAAUUUGGCACUUUUAAAAACCGCAGAUAUCCUUGCCUGCUUUUCAGGUUUUAGCAGCAUGUUUUUCUGUCUGCUGUCCUGAGCGGGUGUUCACCUGCGUCAGGCGUACAUAACUCACCGUGUCAGCGUCGGUGACACAGAGUAUGAGGAGUAUGUUUUCGUCCAGCUUUUGUACAGUGUGGCGGAAGGCCCGGAUGUUUUCUGAAUGGCCCCGGACU
This is a long non-coding RNA of Girardinichthys multiradiatus, 1762 nucleotides long. RefSeq lists it as uncharacterized. The transcript is spliced from 2 exons. The record is from RefSeq and is a predicted model, not a curated record. Lineage: Eukaryota; Metazoa; Chordata; Actinopteri; Cyprinodontiformes; Goodeidae.